AGAGAGAGACAUGCGCGCAUAUCAAUAAGCGGAGGAAAAGAAACUAACAAGGAUUCCCCUAGUAACGGCGAGUGAAGCGGGAAGAGCUCAAAUUUGAAAUCUUAAAGGGUUUCCCUUUACGAAUUGUAGUUUAAAGAAGUGUUUUCUGUUGAGGUUUUGGUAAAAGUUCUUUGGAAUAGGACAUCAUAGAGGGUGAGAAUCCCGUAUUUGACCUUUACUUUCAACUUUGUGAUACACUUUCAAAGAGUCGGAUUGUUUGGGAAUGCAGUCCAAAAUGGGUGGUAAAUUUCAUCUAAAGCUAAAUAUUGGCGAGAGACCGAUAGCGAACAAGUACCGUGAGGGAAAGAUGAAAAGAACUUUGAAAAGAGAGUUAAACAGUACGUGAAAUUGUCAAAAGGGAAGCGUUUGACACCAGUGUUGUUUUUCUGAAAAUCAAUUAAAGAACUGUUUAUGCUAAGUUGUUUAGACUUUAUCAGCUAACUGUUUAGUUUUGAGCUUUUCUUUAAUGCACUUUUCAGUUAACAAGUCAACAUCAAUUUCUUUUGCUGUAAAAAAGCUUGAGGAAGGUGGCUUGAGAUUCGUCUUAAGUGUUUAUAGCCUCCUUGCCUAUGCAGUCGGAGAGAUUGAGGUCUGCAGCGUAGAUCCUUCGGGGCUAAAUGCAUUUGUGCUAAGUUAUAGCAUUUUAUAGACAACUUGUUGACUAUGAUUUGUCUUGUAGCUUACUCGCUUAUGUUAUUUUACCUACGCUUAGGAUGUUGAGCGCAUGUCUCUCUCU
Molecule: ribosomal RNA, 775 nt
Filed under: uncultured Neocallimastigales
Lineage: Eukaryota; Fungi; Neocallimastigomycota; Neocallimastigomycetes; Neocallimastigales
Description: partial large subunit ribosomal RNA
Rfam family: Eukaryotic large subunit ribosomal RNA
Source: RNAcentral